CAGCACCUCAAGUGGUCAGGAUGAUUAUUGGGCCUAAAUCAUCCGCAGCCGGCGCUGUAAGUUUUCGGUUAAAUCUGUACGCUCAACGUACAGGCUGCCGGGAAUACUGCAGAGCUAGGGAGUGGGAGAGGUAGACGGUACUCAGUAGGAAGGGGUAAAAUCCUUUGAUCUAUUGAUGACCACCUGUGGCGAAGGCGGUCUACCAGAACACGUCCGACGGUGAGGGAUGAAAGCUGGGGGAGCAAACCGGAUUAGAUACCCGAGUAGUCC
RNAcentral lists this ribosomal RNA (270 nucleotides) under uncultured archaeon. RNAcentral describes it as "partial 16S ribosomal RNA". It matches the Rfam family "Archaeal small subunit ribosomal RNA", at positions 477 to 747 of the family's 1478-position model. The record is from RNAcentral.